GUUUCACAUGAACAGAAAGAGCACUUGUCUGAGGAAAGUUCCUGAGGAAUGGCGCAGACCACGAGCACAAGCCUGUAUCCUCACCUGCCCCGAAGCUUCCUUUCCCUCAAAGCUCUGCACAGCUGCAAGGAGCAGCUGCCACAAAAGCCAGAGGGCUGUGUCAUGGUGCAUGCCCUUCGAGAAGGAACUAGAACACUCGAGACUCCCUGAACUUCUACUGCUGAGAUUCACGGAGCCCCAGCCCUGCUUGGUGCUGUGCUUGGUCCUGCCCCGCAGUUGCCAUGGAGACAGCAUGCUCCAGCCCAUGAAAGUUGUCUUACCAGCCAGCUCCUUGGAUCAAUUUGGUUCUAUCAGCUGCACUCAGAAUCCUUAAUGGGAACAGAGAGACCUGGGAACAGGCUGGGUAAGCUAUAAUAGAGGAAGUAAAGAGGAAAUGUGUCCCUCUGAUUCCUCAGGAUUAUUUGGCCUGGAUACAGAAAGGGAUAAUGUACAUGUCUGGUGCGUCCCCCUUGGCUCCACCUCUUAUAGCUACAGAAGCAAUGAAUUUAAGAACUGCACCUAACUGAUACGGUUACUUCACUAGCUUGAAGUAUAAGCUAUAGUCACCCCCUCUCUCACCUCCAUUAAUUGCUAGGGACUAGGUUAUUUUAACUGGGGACACUGUUAAACACCAGUCUUUCUCCACUGCCCUAUCCAGAGCCCCAGCAGCCUGAACACAUGACUCCAAAGUCCAAGUUCUUUUUGUUUGUUUGUUUGAGAAAUAGUCUUACUGUGUAGUUCAUCCUGGCCUUGAACUUAUUAUAUAGUCCAGGAUAUCCUCAAACUUGGUGGUGACUCUCCUGCCUCAGCCUCCUGAGCUGACUGGGACUAUAGGUAUGUGUUCCCCCGACCCAAACUCUUUUUCAUCCUCCUGAGCUCCCACAGUUUUCAUUAGCAGGAAGGUUCAGGGAUCCUCAUCCCCAGAGGUCAUCAGCUCAAGGCCUCCUUCCCACAUCAGUGAGAUCUCCUUGGAGACCCUUAGGUGAUCUCUCUCUCUCUCUCUUCCUCUCCCUCUGUCUCUUUCUCUUAAGUUAUCCUCCUGCCUCAGCCUCUUGAAUGCUGGGAUUAUUGACAUGCACCAUAACACCUGGUUGCUGGAGAUCUUACUUGAUGACCAGUUGGGAAGGAGCAUCUUUGGAAGAGGGUCUACUAACUUGCAGCUUCUCCAAGAAAGAGAUUAGGCUUUCCAUUCAUGACCUGGAAUUUCCUGUCCCCUGAAAAAGUGUUGCUUUCCUCCCAGGCUCUGUGUCCUAUUGGAUCUUACAGAGGUAGACUUUGCCAGUCAGAUAAGGCCCUCUUUUAAUCUCCUAGAACCUAUUUACAUUUGCUAAUCGAAAAUGACCACCAAAGCAGAGAACGUCUCCUCCAAGGUGACUUGCUAAGUCCUCCUCCAAGGACUGAGGACAAGAAGCUUUUUUCCCAUUACUCUUGGCUUCCUCCAAUUUAGUACUACAGAAAGGAUGUGACUUGAGUGGCCAUUAGUCAGAGACUUUUACAAUGUGUCAAGGAGUUCCUUAGAAAGGCCUCAGGGACCUCUGCCUUUCCCUGUGGGGCAGGGAAAGAGAGACCAAGAGAAAUUGUCCUCACACAUGAGCACCUCACACACAUACACACAC
Fukomys damarensis (Damara mole-rat) is the source of this 1655-nucleotide long non-coding RNA. The record is from Ensembl. NCBI's taxonomy places the organism in Eukaryota, Metazoa, Chordata, Mammalia, Rodentia, Bathyergidae.